AGGUCCCACCGAGAUUUGAACUCGGAUCACUGGAUUCUGAGUCCAAAGUGCUAAACAUUACACCAUGGGGCC
This 72-nucleotide transfer RNA is filed under the name Caligus rogercresseyi. RNAcentral's name for it is "tRNA-Leu". Lineage: Eukaryota; Metazoa; Arthropoda; Copepoda; Siphonostomatoida; Caligidae. The record is from RNAcentral.